AUGCUAAGAAUAAUAAAAUGGCAUUUUCCAGUAACCUAUAGUUUGCCUCUGCCAAAGCAACGAUGCGUCACUUGGAUGCCAAAAAGCACUGAAACAGGAAGAGUUGCUGUUGGGUCCCAGCAUGGUGACUUCAUCACAGGCCUCAGCUUCAAACUGUGGAAAAAGAUGAGGACUUUGAAUUUCACGUCUUCAAACAAUGGGCAGCAGCUCCUUGCAGGAUCACACGUGGUGAUUCUGCAUCCAAUGGGAAGCAGGAUACAGGGACAUGGAGGAAAACCAUCAGUGGAUUUCUAGUGCCAGCUCAUCUGCAGGAUCUCCAGGAAAAACCUUUAGCUACGUCUGCAUAAGGAUGACUUGAACUGCAAAUACUGUGUAUGUAAAUGGUACGAACACAUUUUAAACUAAAUGUGCGCAGUGUGUUUAGAGCAGUGCAGAAAAUUAGUAAUAAAUGCAAAAGUUACAGUCUACA
RNAcentral lists this long non-coding RNA (469 nucleotides) under Calidris pugnax (ruff). RNAcentral's name for it is "lncRNA (ENSCPUG00000011058.1)". Lineage: Eukaryota; Metazoa; Chordata; Aves; Charadriiformes; Scolopacidae. The record is from RNAcentral.